RNAcentral lists this ribosomal RNA (452 nucleotides) under uncultured bacterium. Its description in RNAcentral is "bacterial SSU rRNA". It matches the Rfam family "Bacterial small subunit ribosomal RNA", at positions 340 to 786 of the family's 1533-position model. The record is from RNAcentral.
UACGGGAGGCAGCAGGGGGAAUAUUGCACAAUGGGCGCAAGCCUGAUGCAGCCAUGCCGCGUGUAUGAAGAAGGCCUUCGGGUUGUAAAGUACUUUCAGUCGUGAGGAAGGUGUUAAGGUUAAUAACCUUAGCAAUUGACGUUAGCGACAGAAGAAGCACCGGCUAACUCCGUGCCAGCAGCCGCGGCAAUACGGAGGGUGCGAGCGUUAAUCGGAAUUACUGGGCGUAAAGGGCACGCAGGCGGUUAAUUAAGUUGGAUGUGAAAUCCCCGGGCUUAACCUGGGAAUGGCAUUCAAGACUGGUUAGCUAGAGUCUUGUAGAGGGGGUAGAAUUCCAUGUGUAGCGGUGAAAUGCGUAGAGAUGUGGAGGAAUACCGGUGGCGAAGGCGGCCCCUGGACAAAGACUGACGCUCAUGUGCGAAAGCGUGGGGAGCAAACAGGGAUUAGAUACC